UACUUUCCAUCAAACUUAAAUAAAUGGACGAUGGGAAAUAGAAAAUCAGAAAAGCGCGCCGAAAUUGUUGAUAGGCAGCGAAGGAAGAUGAAAUCACGAACCACCGUGUUUGGUCAUGGUUUUGUGGCUUUGGGAGAAAUGAUGGGAUUCUGCAUUGCUUAAACGAUCGAUGGCGAGGAUUUGGGAGAGUAUCAGUGUUGGAUGUGAUUUAAGCUGCAGAAAAAUCGUCGUGACGGAGAUAUUCGAUUCAUCAAUUCACAAGUGUUUAAAGGAAGUUUGGUUCAAUUGAAUUAGGGCUUUCACUCAGAGACAGCUAACAUUCGGUUCAUGGAAUUAAUUUGGGAGGAGAAUCAUCGUUGAUCGCUGUGGAGUUCGCUGGAAAAUCGGUGAUUGAAUUUCCUAAAAGUUAUUGGGAGAAAUCGAUCGUUACGCUGCCAGAAAAGGAUCGUCAAAGAGAAAACACAUAAAUGGAAGCUCUGAAAUCAAAUGAAAUUCCACGCAUCUGGAGGUUGGAGAAUCAGUUCGUCUGAGUAACUGAUGGAGUAUCCCUUCUUCUCAAAAUUUUCGAGGUGAUUCCAACCGCACUAAUAUUUAUUAUGAUUUUAGGACCUAAUUAGUAGAUUUUGAGAAAUUUGAAGGAAGGAAAAACAUUAAUUUCGCAAGAACCAAGCUUUAAUUGAGGUAAAUAGUAGUUAAUUGGAACAUUUAUCUAAGUUUUGCAUUGUAUUGACUCGAAUAUGACUUGUUAACGAUGGUUGCGGAUGAAAUAUGAUUGAGAUGAUUGAUUUUGGCUUA
Long non-coding RNA from Cucurbita moschata (crookneck pumpkin), 795 nucleotides. RefSeq lists it as uncharacterized. NCBI's taxonomy places the organism in Eukaryota, Viridiplantae, Streptophyta, Magnoliopsida, Cucurbitales, Cucurbitaceae. The transcript has 2 exons. The record is from RefSeq and is a predicted model, not a curated record.